This 71-nucleotide transfer RNA is filed under the name Loxodonta africana (African savanna elephant). It matches the Rfam family "tRNA". From Rfam's summary of the family: Transfer RNA (tRNA) molecules are approximately 80 nucleotides in length. Their secondary structure includes four short double-helical elements and three loops (D, anti-codon, and T loops). Further hydrogen bonds mediate the characteristic L-shaped molecular structure. tRNAs have two regions of fundamental functional importance: the anti-codon, which is responsible for specific mRNA codon recognition, and the 3' end, to which the tRNAs corresponding amino acid is attached (by aminoacyl-tRNA synthetases). tRNAs cope with the degeneracy of the genetic code in two manners: having more than one tRNA (with a specific anti-codon) for a particular amino acid; and 'wobble' base-pairing, i.e. permitting non-standard base-pairing at the 3rd anti-codon position. Lineage: Eukaryota; Metazoa; Chordata; Mammalia; Proboscidea; Elephantidae. The record is from Rfam by way of RNAcentral.
GUAUGGGUGGUUCAGUGGUAGAAUUCUUGCCUCCGAUGUGGGAGAUCCAGGUUCGAUUCCCAGCCAAUGCA